Molecule: non-coding RNA, 428 nt
Organism: Anolis sagrei ordinatus
Lineage: Eukaryota; Metazoa; Chordata; Lepidosauria; Squamata; Anolidae
Source: RefSeq, a predicted model, not a curated record
UUAGCUGAAAAAUCAACAACACCCAUUCCCAAACAAAUGACACUUCUCUGUUUAUUUCCAGGUAGUGGGAAAGGUUAUUUUGAAUGCUUAAUAUUAAACAGGAAGCGAGCCACAAUGCUUCAUGUAUUCUCAUUUCCCUUUUCCCAGGUCAAAAAAGGCAAGAGGAGACAAGUUCUGUUUCCAUGCGGUGUGCCAGCCCCUUACUCAGAAAUGUCAAGAGAGCCCUUAAGAAAACAGAGUGGUUACUUCAGAACAGUCAGAAUGUAAAUAUAGGUUGGCCAAUGUGUUUAAAGGAAAUCUUAGAAACACUCAAGGAGACAGCCUGGCAUUUCUGAUGGGCUCCGGUCCUGCCAAAGCCAACCAGAUCUACGGUAACAACCCCACACAUUGCACUAAAAUAAAGCCAGAACCCAAGAGGGUUGAAUAAA